CGUGUCGUGAGAUGUUCGGUUAAGUCCGGCAACGAGCGCAACCCACAUCCUUAGUUGCCAGCAGGUCAAGCUGGGCACUCUAGGGAAACUGCCCGUGAUAAGCGGGAGGAAGGUGUGGAUGACGUCAAGUCCUCAUGGCCCUUACGGGUUGGGCUACACACGUGCUACAAUGGCGGUGACAGUGGGUUAAUCCCAAAAAGCCGUCUCAGUUCGGAUUGUCCUCUGCAACUCGAGGGCAUGAAGUCGGAAUCGCUAGUAAUCGCGGAACAGCAUGCCGCGGUGAAUACGUUCCCGGGCCUU
This 300-nucleotide ribosomal RNA is filed under the name uncultured bacterium. RNAcentral's name for it is "bacterial SSU rRNA". It matches the Rfam family "Bacterial small subunit ribosomal RNA", at positions 1061 to 1382 of the family's 1533-position model. The record is from RNAcentral.